UGGGUAAUGCCCCCGUCCCUCUUAGGAUACCUGAACGGAAACCUCUGGAGACUUUGCCCCCCACCCACC
Amblyraja radiata (thorny skate) is the source of this 69-nucleotide long non-coding RNA. RefSeq lists it as uncharacterized. Lineage: Eukaryota; Metazoa; Chordata; Chondrichthyes; Rajiformes; Rajidae. The transcript is spliced from 3 exons. The record is from RefSeq and is a predicted model, not a curated record.